RNAcentral lists this long non-coding RNA (1159 nucleotides) under Ornithorhynchus anatinus (platypus). Its description in RNAcentral is "lncRNA (ENSOANG00000041381.1)". Lineage: Eukaryota; Metazoa; Chordata; Mammalia; Monotremata; Ornithorhynchidae. The record is from RNAcentral.
CCAUGUAUAAGUGGUUCUGACAUACCUAUGCCACCGAGGAGCUCUGCCGCGGCCCACAAUUCUUCUGAACUCAUUCUGAGUUUCCGAGUUACAGAACUGCGUUGUUUAUGGCAUUUUCAAGGUCUCUUCUGGAAAGCAGUGAAGCCUAGUGGAAAGACCAUGAAUCUGAAAUCAGAGUACCUGGGUUCAAAUCCUGACUCUACCACUUGUCUCCUGGUUGACCUGGGGAAAGUCACUUAAAUCCUCUGCACCUCAGUUUCCUCAUCUGCAAAAUGUGGAUUAAAUGCUUUUUUCCCCCACUCUCAGACUGUGAGCCUUAUCUGGGACAGGGACUAUGUCUGAACUGAUUAUCUUGUAUAUAUUCCAGUAGUUAGUACAGUGUCUGGCAGAAAAAUGGACAACAGGACCCCCCCCCCCCCCCGUCCCCCAAACAACUGUUCCAUGAUUUCAUUCAUUCGUAUUUGAGCGCUUACUGUGUGCAGGGCACUGAACUAAGUGCUUCUAGAAGAGUUGGACAGAAGUGAAGCUCUAAAAGACACAAUGAUGCUGAUGUUGAAAUGAGGCCAAAAAGAAAAGAUGAGCAGCAAAACAUAGGUCAGCCCCUUGGCUGGCCGUCAGAAGUGGGGUUGAUCUAGAACAAAUGGCUUUGAGAAGAUUAUGAUACAAAGAGAAAAGUAGCACGGUCUAGUGGAAAGAGCUCGAGUCUAGGAGUCAUAAGGACCUGCAUUUUAAUCCCAGUUCUGACUCCUGUCUGCUGCAUCAACCUGGUCAAUUUACUUCACUUCUCUGGGCCUCAAUUACCUCAGCUGUAAAAUGGGGAUGGAGACUGUGAACCCCAAGUGGGACAGAGACCAUGUGCUACCUGAUUAGCUUAUAUCUGUCCCGGUAUUUAGAAGAGUGCCUGCCACAUACUAAGAACUCAAUACCAUAUACAUAUAAACAUAUUUAAAAUGUUUUAAUAAUUUUUCAUAAUCAAUGCACUUGGGUAAAAAGGAGCAAUCUUCACAUGCCCAACAUGGAGAUUAUCAGUCAUUAAUUGGCAUGCUUAGACAGAACCCCACACAGUGACACAGUGAUAAAGUCUUAGCAUCAAUAGCCUGAUCUGCAUCUGAUAUACGAAAAUUGAGAAACAAAGCAUACAAAUUAAAAAUAAAAGUAC